CAGCCCCUGCCCCAUUUUUUUAGCAAGAACAAAAUUAAAUGUCGGGACCCAGGGUUGUAGCUCAGUGGUGGAAUGCAUCUGCGUUUGGGCCUGGGUUAAACCCCCAGCGUCAGAAGAAAAAAACUGUUUAAGCAUUUGUCUGAAAAAAGUAAAAAGGAUCUGAGACUGUCUCCCGACGUGAUGGCGCUUUGUAGCGAUCCACUGGGCGCUUGCUUGGUGCUCGAAUGACGCUGAGGGCUUUGCAGACGCGCGCUCCAAGUUUGCACCGCUCCCGGCGCGUGCGCGCGGAGCUGUCCGGCGGCUGGUGCCCGGGACGCCGAGGGACGCGCCUGCCACAGCGGGGCGGGCCUGGGGCUCCAAGCCUGUCUGUCGUGGGAGACACUUGAGCGGUGGAUGAAUCCGGCUUUUUACGUCCUUCUGCAGUUGCUCCCGUAGCCUGCAACCCCAAGGCUUAGGCAUUGCCGUGAGGGAAUGCUUUGAGAGGACUGCUUAGGAACCAGGCAUGAGAAUCAAACUGAGGACCUUGUGCUUGCCAGGCAC
This is a long non-coding RNA of Chinchilla lanigera (long-tailed chinchilla), 540 nucleotides long. RefSeq lists it as uncharacterized. The record is from RefSeq and is a predicted model, not a curated record. The transcript is spliced from 3 exons. NCBI's taxonomy places the organism in Eukaryota, Metazoa, Chordata, Mammalia, Rodentia, Chinchillidae.